This 599-nucleotide ribosomal RNA is filed under the name Porina karnatakensis. RNAcentral's name for it is "SSU rRNA". It matches the Rfam family "Bacterial small subunit ribosomal RNA", at positions 532 to 1219 of the family's 1533-position model. Lineage: Eukaryota; Fungi; Ascomycota; Lecanoromycetes; Ostropales; Porinaceae. The record is from RNAcentral.
AGACAAGCGUUAUUCAUCUUUAUUAGGUUUAAAGGGUACUCAGACAGUUAAUUAAGCCUACACAAGGGACUGAUUAUACUAGAGUUUGAUAGGAGAAGGCUAGAACGGUUAGUGUAGAGAUAAAAUAUGUUGAUACAACCUUGAUACUGACAACAGCGAAGGCAACCUUUUAUGUAAAAACUGACGUUAAAGGACGAAGGCUAUAAAUAAACAACAGGAUUAGGUACCCUAGUAUUCGUGGCAGUCAAUGAUGAAUGUAGUAGGUAAGUAAUAUAGUUUACCUAUAAAUGAAAAUGUAAACAUUCCACCUUAAGAGUAAAAUGGCAACGUGGGAACUGAAAUCAUUAGACCGUUUCUGAAACCAGUAGUGAAGUAUGUUAGUUAAAUUGAUGAUCCACAAAGAACCUUACCACAACUUGAAUGUUAAUUCACAGGAGUUGCACGGCUGUCUUCAGUUGAUAUCGUGAGAUUUUGGUUAGUUCCAUUAAAUCAACGUAAACCCUUACUUUAAUUUAUACAUAAAGUAGUUCGCCAUUAUAUUGGAUACGAUAAUAGGGACUAAGACAAGUCAUCAUGACCUAAAAUGUUGUGGGCUAUAG